UACGGAGGAUGCGAGCGUUAUCCGGAUUUAUUGGGUUUAAAGGGUGCGUAGGCGGCUUUUUAAGUCAGCGGUGAAAUUUUGCAGCUUAACUGUAACAGUGCCGUUGAUACUGUGGAGCUAGGAUUUGGUUGCUGUGGGUGGAAUGUGUGGUGUAGCGGUGAAAUGCUUAGAGAUCACACAGAAUAUCGAUUGCGAAGGCAGCUCACAAAGCCAAGAUUGACGCUGAGGCACGAAAGUGUGGGGAUCAAACAGGAUUA
This 257-nucleotide ribosomal RNA is filed under the name uncultured prokaryote. RNAcentral describes it as "partial 16S ribosomal RNA". It matches the Rfam family "Bacterial small subunit ribosomal RNA", at positions 524 to 780 of the family's 1533-position model. The record is from RNAcentral.